AAUAGAUACCCGGGUAGUCCACGCCGUAAACGAUGGAUACUAGCUGUUUGGGCGUAAGCUUGAGUGGCUAAGCGAAAGUGAUAAGUAUCCCACCUGGGGAGUACGGGCGCAAGCCUGAAACUCAAAGGAAUUGACGGGGGCCCGCACAAGCGGUGGAGCAUGUGGUUUAAUUCGAUGAUACGCGAGGAACCUUACCAGGGCUUAAAUGUGUUUUGACCGAUCUGGAAACAGAUCUUUCGCAAGACAAAAUACAAGGUGCUGCAUGGUUGUCGUCAGCUCGUGCCGUGAGGUGUCAGGUUAAGUCCUAUAACGAGCGCAACCCCUGUUGUUAGUUGCCAGCGAGUCAUGUCGGGAACUCUAGCAAGACUGCCAGUGUAAACUGUGAGGAAGGUGGGGAUGACGUCAAAUCAUCACGGCCCUUACGUCCUGGGCCACACACGUGCUACAAUGGACGGUACAGAGAGCAGCUACCAAGUGAUUGGAUGCGAAUCUAUAAAACCGUUCUCAGUUCGGAUCGGAGUCUGCAACG
This 529-nucleotide ribosomal RNA is filed under the name uncultured bacterium. RNAcentral describes it as "bacterial SSU rRNA". It matches the Rfam family "Bacterial small subunit ribosomal RNA", at positions 777 to 1312 of the family's 1533-position model. The record is from RNAcentral.